RNAcentral lists this ribosomal RNA (463 nucleotides) under uncultured bacterium. Its description in RNAcentral is "partial 16S ribosomal RNA". It matches the Rfam family "Bacterial small subunit ribosomal RNA", at positions 28 to 507 of the family's 1533-position model. The record is from RNAcentral.
GAUGAACGCUGACAGAAUGCUUAACACAUGCAAGUCUUUGGCGAAGCUGUGCUUGCACAGCCUAGCCAAGGCGGACGGGUGAGUAACGCGUAAGGAACUUGCCCUGCAGUCAGGGAUAACAGACGGAAACGACUGAUAAGACCUGGUAAAGUCAGGCGGACUCAUGUCCAGCCUGAUGAAAAGAGAUGCUGCAGGAGAGCCUUGCGUCCUAUUAGCUUGUUGGUGGGGUAACGGCCCACCAAGGCGAUGAUAGGUAGCCGGCCUGAGAUGGUGGACGGCCACAAGGGGACUGAGAUACGGCCCUUACUCCUACGGGAGGCAGCAGUGGGGAAUAUUGGACAAUGGGGGCAACCCUGAUCCAGCAAUUCUGUGUGCACGAUGAAGGUUUUCGGAUUGUAAAGUGCUUUCAGCAGGGAGGAAAAAAAUGACGGUACCUGCAGAAGAAGCGACGGCUAAAUACGUG